This 73-nucleotide transfer RNA is filed under the name Cucumis sativus (cucumber). RNAcentral's name for it is "transfer RNA-Gln". It matches the Rfam family "tRNA". From Rfam's summary of the family: Transfer RNA (tRNA) molecules are approximately 80 nucleotides in length. Lineage: Eukaryota; Viridiplantae; Streptophyta; Magnoliopsida; Cucurbitales; Cucurbitaceae. The record is from RNAcentral. RNAcentral also lists the same sequence under 36 other names.
AUGGGGCGUGGCCAAGUGGUAAGGCAACGGGUUUUGGUCCCGCUAUUCGGAGGUUCGAAUCCUUCCGUCCCAG